CUCGUGAUCCCAGCAUGCCGCCAUCGAGAGAAGCCGAGCCCGAACACCGCCGCCUCCUGUCCCUUCCCACCGCCUCCUCUCCCUCGCUCAAGACAGGAAGAUAACCCAGGCCCUCGGAUCCAGAGCUGUACGUGCAGCUGGGUGAGCAGGAUGACCUGGAAGCGCUCCUCGACAGAGUUGCCAUGGCCGGCCUUGUCGUCGUCCUCCGCGGGCUCGAGGAUCUCACAGAGUGGUCUUGCUUGAAUGCUUUCUAUCUGAUUUUGUUUGAUUUUUUUAGCAGGGUGUUGGAUUCUUUAGAGAUGAUUUCCAGGGAGUGCCAUUUGGAUUUGUGCGCAAACUGGGACCGCGAAUCGAAUCUGCAUCCACUUCUUUCAUUUUGCUUAUAUGAAUUUGUGACAGGGGGAAGAAUUAAGAAGAAUGUGUAUCCAACGUGAAGGUUGAAGCAGCCGAAUGCUCUGCAUGCUUUGCUUUUCUGAAUUUGGAUGGCCAUGUUGCAAAAAGACUGCAUGUUGCUGCUGCCACACUGCUGAUUUGAUAGUAGUAAAAAGUUUGAAUUUUUGAAGAAGAGGAUAUUGCAGCAGACAACAAUAAAAAGCUGGGCGCACUUUGUGCAAACACAACGAGGGGUUGUAUUCAACGCUAAUGGCAAACAUUUAAGAAAAUGAAGCACUUCUUUCUGCUUGCUAUAGACAUUUAAGGGCAUCGUCAUCUAUGAUCAUUGCAGCCGUUGGUCCCCCAAGCAAAACAUGAGUCCAAAACACGCUCCAAGAGUCAAUUUUCUGAACAUGAUACAACCUACAUUCAAACUUAAAAUUAUCGUAGCAUAGUUUUGUCUUGCAGAUAUUUGACGCUUAUUUUUUUUGGUAAUUUUACAACACAUGUUUAAACUUGAGUUAUUGUGGAAUUGUUUUUUUAUAUUGCAUC
Molecule: long non-coding RNA, 924 nt
Organism: Sorghum bicolor (sorghum)
Lineage: Eukaryota; Viridiplantae; Streptophyta; Magnoliopsida; Poales; Poaceae
Exons: 3
Source: RefSeq, a predicted model, not a curated record